AUUUCCGUAGGUGAACCUGCGGAAGGAUCAUUAGUGAAUAUAGGAUGUCCAACUUAACUUGGAGUCCGAACUCUCACUUUCUAACCCUGUGCAUUUGUUUGGGAUAGUAGCCUCUCGGGGUGAACUCCUAUUCACUUAUAAACACAAAGUCUAUGAAUGUAUUUAAUUUAUAACAAAAUAAAACUUUCAACAACGGAUCUCUUGGCUCUCGCAUCGAUGAAGAACGCAGCGAAAUGCGAUAAGUAAUGUGAAUUGCAGAAUUCAGUGAAUCAUCGAAUCUUUGAACGCACCUUGCGCUCCAUGGUAUUCCGUGGAGCAUGCCUGUUUGAGUGUCAUGAAUACUUCAACCCUCCUCUUUUCUAGUGAAAGAGAAGGUGCUUGGUUUCUGAGCGUUUUGCUGGCCUCACGGUCGAGCUCGCUCGUAAUGCAUUAGCAUCCGCAAUCGAACUUCGGAUUGACUUGGCGUAAUAGACUAUUCGCUGAGGAAUUCUAAUCUUCGGAUUAGAGCCGGGUUAGGUUAAAGGAAGCUUCUAAUCCUUAUGUCUAUAUUCUAAGAUUAGAUCUCAAAUCAGGUAGGACUACCCGCUGAACUUAAGCAUAUCAAUAAGCGGAGGAAU
This 617-nucleotide ribosomal RNA is filed under the name Rhodotorula sphaerocarpa. RNAcentral's name for it is "eukaryotic LSU rRNA". The stretch from base 182 to 335 matches the Rfam family "5.8S ribosomal RNA". Lineage: Eukaryota; Fungi; Basidiomycota; Microbotryomycetes; Sporidiobolales; Sporidiobolaceae. The record is from RNAcentral.